AGAGUUUGAUCCUGGCUCAGAUUGAACGCUAGCGGGAUGCUUUACACAUGCAAGUCGGACGGCAGCACGAAGAGCUUGCUCUUUGGUGGCGAGUGGCGAACGGGUGAGUAAUGUAUCGGAACGUGCCCAGUAGCGGGGGAUAACUACGCGAAAGCGUGGCUAAUACCGCAUACGCCCUACGGGGGAAAGGGGGGGAUCGCAAGACCUCUCACUAUUGGAGCGGCCGAUAUCGGAUUAGCUAGUUGGUGGGGUAAAGGCCUACCAAGGCGAUUAUCCGUAGCUGGUUUGAGAGGACGACCAGCCACACUGGGACUGAGACACGGCCCAGACUCCUACGGGAGGCAGCAGUGGGGAAUUUUGGACCAUGGGGGNCACCCUGAUCCAGCCAUCCCGGCGUGUGCGAAUGAAGGCCUCGGGUUGUAAGCACUUUUGGCAGG
RNAcentral lists this ribosomal RNA (437 nucleotides) under uncultured bacterium. RNAcentral describes it as "bacterial SSU rRNA". It matches the Rfam family "Bacterial small subunit ribosomal RNA", at positions 8 to 443 of the family's 1533-position model. The record is from RNAcentral.